This 1009-nucleotide ribosomal RNA is filed under the name Helicobacter pylori. RNAcentral's name for it is "bacterial LSU rRNA". It matches the Rfam family "Bacterial large subunit ribosomal RNA", at positions 1 to 967 of the family's 2925-position model. Lineage: Bacteria; Pseudomonadati; Campylobacterota; Epsilonproteobacteria; Campylobacterales; Helicobacteraceae. The record is from RNAcentral.
GCAAAGUUGUGUAGUGCGAUCGGUGGAUGCCUUGGCACCAAGAGCCGAUGAAGGACGUUGUGACCUGCGAUAAGCCCUGGGGAGUUGGUGAGCGAGCUGUGAUCCGGGGAUGUCCGAAUGGGGAAACCUGGAAUGUCCGGAGUAGUGUCCGGUGGCCCUGCCCUGAAUGUAUAGGGGUGUGGGUGGUAACGCGGGGAAGUGAAACAUCUUAGUACCCGUAGGAAGAGAAAACAAGUGUGAUUCCGUGAGUAGUGGCGAGCGAAAGCGGAGGAGGCUAAACCGUGUGUGUGUUCAAGCCGGCAGGUGUUGCAUGUGCGGGGUUGUGGGGGCCUUGUGGUUCUGCUGCCGCAGGAUUGGCCAGUGAGAAAUGUUGCGUGAAGGUGAAGCGUCUGGGAAGGCGUACCGGAGUGGGUGAGAGUCCUGUAACUGUAAGCGUGGCACUGGUGUGGGGUUGCCCCGAGUAGCGUGGAACUCGUGGAAUUUCGCGUGAAUCUGGCGGGACCACCCGUCAAGCCUAAAUACUCCUUGGUGACCGAUAGUGGAUGAGUACCGUGAGGGAAGGGUGAAAAGUACCCCGGGAGGGGAGUGAAAGAGUUCCUGAAACCGGUCGCAUGCAAGCCGUCAGAGCCUGUGUGGUGAUGGCGUGCCUUUUGAAGAAUGAGCCUGCGAGUUAGUGAUGCGUGGCGAGGUUAACCCGUGGUGGGGGAGUCGUAGCGAAAGCGAGUCCGAUAAGGGCGUGAGUCGCGUGUUCUAGACCCGAAGCGGUGUGAUCUAUCCAUGGCCAGGAUGAAGCGUCGGUAAGACGUCGUGGAGGUCCGAACCCACUUCAGUUGAAAAUGGAGGGGAUGAGUUGUGGAUAGGGGUGAAAGGCCAAUCAAACACCGUGAUAGCUGGUUCUCCCCGAAAUGCAUUUAGGUGCAGCGUUGCGUGGUUCUUGUUGGAGGUAGAGCACUGGAUGGUCUAGGGGGCUUAUCGGCUUACCGAAAUCAGCCAAACUCCGAAUGCUGGC